RNAcentral lists this ribosomal RNA (253 nucleotides) under uncultured bacterium. Its description in RNAcentral is "partial 16S ribosomal RNA". It matches the Rfam family "Bacterial small subunit ribosomal RNA", at positions 524 to 776 of the family's 1533-position model. The record is from RNAcentral.
UACGGAGGGUGCAAGCGUUAUCCGGAUUCACUGGGCUUAAAGGGUGCGUAGGUGGGUUGGUAAGUCAGUGGUGAAAUCCCCGAGCUUAACUUGGGAACUGCCAUUGAUACUAUCAGUCUUGAAUACCGUGGAGGUCAGCGGAAUAUGUCAUGUAGCGGUGAAAUGCUUAGAUAUGACAUAGAACACCAAUUGCGAAGGCAGCUGGCUACACGAGUAUUGACACUGAGGCACGAAAGCGUGGGGAUCAAACAGG